Molecule: unclassified non-coding RNA, 150 nt
Filed under: Frankia sp. AcoPraII.1
Lineage: Bacteria; Bacillati; Actinomycetota; Actinomycetes; Frankiales; Frankiaceae
Source: RNAcentral
GAGGAAGCCGGUGCGAAUCCGGCGCGGUCCCGCCACUGUCACCGGAGAGCGCCGCCAUCCACAUGCCCUACAGCCACACGGGCAGGUCACGACCGCCAGCACGGUUGGAAGGCCGACGGCGGCGCGCGGGAUCCGGGAGCCAGGAUACUC